AAUUAAUGAUGUAAUGUAUUGUUAAGGUAAUAUAAUUAUUUAAAUCAAUAAAAAAGACAUUAUACUUUUUUUUAUACUGUUAUCCAUGUUUCCAAGCAAUUCUCAUUAAUAUCGCUAUUCAUGUUGCCAAACAAUCCCCAAAUGUACUUCAGUUUUAAUAAUAUAGAUUAUAGAUUUGUUGCACUUACAUGAUCAAUACUCACAUUUUCAUCCAUCAGUAUCAUUUAACAAUCAUAACCGAACAUGUUAUUCUUCACGGUCCAUUUUUGUACUAUUUGGACUCUUAUUGAAACAUUCAAAGAUUGGGAUUUCAACCCUUCAAGAAAAACCAAAGCUUCCAUGAUAAAUGUGUAAUCAGUGAAUGAAUAACAACCUUAUAUACCUGAAAAAUUAUGGGAAAUGGAAAAUGAAAACUAAAUAUUGUAAAUAAUAUCUUAGCAACUCGAUUUUCAAUAUUUGUUAGAAAAUAUUUUACCAAAUUAAGAAACUGUAUAAAUUAUAAAUAUACCGAUAGUAAUAUUUAAUAUGAAAAUAUAUUAGAAAAAAUAUACAUAACAACUAAAAAUAUACAUGAGUAUAUAAUUGAAAUUUAAAGACUUUAGAAAAUAACAAUAUUGGUAAAUAUAAAGCUGUAAAAAUGACAACUAAAAGCAUGGUCACAUUGAUGUCAAAUAAAAAAAAACAUGGUCACAAAAAUAUGAUCAAUAUCAAGAGAAAUAUAUUAGACGGCAAGAGUAUUCACUUUCUUAUCAAUUGCCUUCUUAAUUGUUUAGUAUUCAGUGUAGUUAACAUUAAUCUGCAUUUGAUACGAAUGAUUAGUAUAAGAAUAAUAGAAUAAUAACGUUGGGUUUGGUUCCCUCCUAGAUUGUCCACGUAGGCAGACACGUCACUAAUUCGAAUCUUGAGAAGUCGACACGUGCCCGCGUCCAAAACGUGGCGUUUCAUUAACUUGGAGUUGGAGAUCGUGUGGACUUUUGGUGUAACUCAUAAACAUGCCGGAAUAUUUUCGUGUGGGCUUUAGAUCAAACUAAAAAUAAUUCUUUUAACAGUAUACUUUUAUAUUUUAGUAAACAAAUAAUGCCGUAUUCUUCGUCUUAUGAAUACGUCAUAAAACAGCUCCUAUGAUAUUCUUGAUAUUCAAUCCGAUCAUACCGGUAUGAAAAAUUAAUGUAAAUCAACAGAACCGAGUACGAUGAUUUUAAUUGGAUUUACAUGUGUCGAAAAUACAAGAAAAAUGUUUUUAUUUGUUUUAGUGUGUAAAAUAGCCUGUAAAAACAAAAAAACUAGAUGAACCAAUAGGUUUAUAGUAUAUUAGUGAACGUACAUAUAAAAUGUAUAAUAUUAUAUAGUGAAUGUAAAAUUGAAUUUACUAAUUUGAUAUACAUAUACUGAGCAUUUAACAUAUGAAUAAGUUUUAGAUAAAAAAAAAUAGGAAUAAUUAUUUGCUUAAACCUAUUUACAUCAAUUAAUUUUUUAAGUUUCAUAAUUUCACAAUAAAUAGAGCUCCAAUAAUUAUUUUUUUUACCCAUUAUAUCAAUUUAUCUUUUAAAGGUCCAUGAUUUCACAAUAAAUAGUGCUUCUAACUUCUUCUUUUUUUUCAUACAAUAGCGCAAACAUAUUAUUAUAUAUUACUCAUACUUAGCUAUUUGUAUAAACAAACACUCUGAUAUUUGAAAAUUUUGAACGAUUCCCUUUGUACGGUAAACAUUUUUAUUUCAAAGUAUUAAUACCCCAAUGAAAAAAUAUAUUUUGCAAGAUAAUUACACGCAUCUGCAGCAUAAACUCUUUAUUAGAUACGAGAAUGGAUUCUAUAAAAAAAACGUCCAUGCAAUAUUAUCAUUUAAUUUAAAUAUAUUGUUAAUUAAUAAAGAUAGUUUUCACAGUAUUAAUAACUUUUAAAUUAAUAGUAAACUCUAUCUAAUAAAUUCUAAACUUAUUUAAUAACGAUAGACCGUAUUCAAUUUUAAGAGUGGCAGAGAAGUUGAAGUAUGACCUUCAUUAGGAAAACUAUCACAUUUUAAUUAAAACAUAGACAGACCAAGCUACUCACACUAACAAAAGGUUGUUUUGGCUUAGAUAAUAUAGGUUUUUCCUUAACAUAUUUCUCUGGCAUUGCAUAACUAUAUGCAUACAUCAUUAAUCUUAUUAUAUUAGAUUGUUCUUCGUAGAAUAAUGAAACUUACUGUCAUUUUAAUUCAGUCCAAAAAUAUUUAUUAAAAAUAACAACAUGAUCUCCAAAUUUUAUUUAUUUAUUUUUGUUUACAAUAUCGUCUUCAAUCUACAAUUUCUUUUAAAAAUGCUUCAUAAAAUUAAUGUAAAUUCAUAUAAAAUAUCUUUUUCUAACUUCCCACCCGUAGGGCAGGCCGACCCUAGUGAUAGAAUAAAUAAAUGAAGAGGCAAAUUGUGUGAGAAUUUUAGGUAAUAUUAAGAAAUGAAGAACAUAAAAAUAUACAUCAGAUGUUUGGAAGUUUUACAUCCGAGUAGUUAAGAAGGGAUCCCGAUUCAUUACAUAGAAAAUAUUGAGAAGAUGAACUUUCCAUGAGAAGAUAGAUUUGAUAAUUUAAACAUAAUAUUAAACUAAAUUUCAAAUAUAUUAAAAAAAUAUUUGUUUCUGGCAUUCCUUAAAGGAAUAUAUUUCUUUUGUAUUCUAUUUUUGAAAAAGCUUUACUAAUGUGAAUAAAUAGCAACCUAUACAGUAAUUUGGUCAUCAAAUCUAUAGAUUAAACUCUAAAUAAACCCUAAAUUCCUGAAAAUAUAAACCAUAAAGCAUAAAACAUGUCUCUUUUUCAAUGGAAUCACAUAAUACUGGAAACAGUCAAAUUUUGUGUAUCCGAACGACAUAUUUUACUUAAACCAUACCACAUGAUUAAUCAUAUAUAAAGUAUAUACUGUAUGAUAUAUUAAUUUGGUCUUAAAACCUAUACCUAAACCCCAAACCAUACCCUAAAUGUCUGCAAUCAUAAAUCAUAAAUCAUAAAUCAUGGAACAUCUUAUUAAAACAGAAGUCAUUACUUUUUUUAUGUGUGAUAUUUUAUUUUGGACCAUCUCUUAGAAAAAUUAUCACAUUUAAUUAUUCUAUCAUUUAGUUUUAUAAUAGAUAUAAUCACAAUUAUAUCUUAUUAAUAUCUUAAUAAAAUCAACAAUAUACUAUUUUUGAGGAGAAUCUCAAAUUUGUUUACUCUUAAUAUAUGCUAAAUUUAAAAAUCUGUAUUCAAAACCAAUAAAAUAAAUAUAAUUAAAUAUACCAACAGAUUUAAGAAAAACAAUUAUAACCUAUUAAUCUAAUAACUAUUAACAGCAUAUAUAAUUAUUUUGUAGGCCAUUAACUAUUUUGUAGGUCACAUCAUUAACAAACAAAUUCAUAUGUUAUGCAAUCAUAAUAUAUGAUUAUAUACAUAUGAUCGUGUAUAUUAUUUUUAAUAUUAUGUGAUGCAACCAUAACAUAUAAUUAAUGUUAUUAUUUUGAUGAUGUCAAAAAGUAUCACAACAUGUGAUUGUUCUUUAAUAUUAUUAACAAUUUUUAUCAAAUUAAUACCAUUCUAAAAACAUAUAAUAGAAUUCUUUCAUAAUCAUAUAACUAAAUUUAAAUAUAUUUAAUACCAUUAUCUAGAAUGAUGUUCAAACGUUAAAUCUAAAUUGAAAAAUAAUUUGACAUAUAAAAUAAAAUCUAUAUAAUAGAAAAAAUAUAGCAUAUUUUGUCUGUGAAACAAAUGCAUUUACAAAUAUAGAUGUACUAAUAUAUAUAAUCAACUAAAUGACACUAUUUCCAUUUUUAUUACUUUGAAAAUUAGUUUUGUUCACACAAAUUAAAGAAAAAAAUUAGUUUUCUAUUUUAUCUAACCAAAAACAUCAUUAACUAUUCACAUAAUCAUAAUUCAACCAAUAAAAACGCUAACUGGAGAAUAUAAAAAGUUAUACAGAAGGAAAAACGAAUAAACUUGCAUUGAAAAUUGAAAAUGUCCUCUAAUUUGAAGUGAAAAGAAUUCUCUAAAACGUCAUAUAUAAAAAUCAAAGUGAAUAUGUUCUACAAACAAAAACAUUAAAAAAUUUGUAUUUUGCAUAAAAUUAUCAAAUUACAAGUUACUUAUCUAACAUAUCAAUUUGAUUGUUUUACCAUGCAAAACCGAAAUAUUCAACCGACAUAGCUUACAAUUUCCCCAAUUUAAUUUGAAAAAACACAUGCGCGGUUGCGCUGAUCAAAAUCUAGUGUCAUUUUUACAAUGGAAUCACAUAUUAGUGGCACAAGAUAAAUAAUUUUUUUUGUGUCCGAACGGCAUAUGUUACUUAAGCCAUACCAUAUGUUUGGAAUCAUAGAAUAUGUCACUUUUGUAUAUACAAUAAUAUGAUUCAAAACCAUACCAUAUGAUUUUUAAAAAGAGUUAGGGAACCAAACAAUAAUUAAAGGGUGACAGUCAGCGAAUUUUGAUUAGAAUAACGAGGAUAGAUUAACACAAACCGAGAUUGAGAAAACGCUAAUUAAUAACGAUUUAGGGAAGAUAAUCCCCGCAUUAGCUACGUCACCAAGUUUAGAGAGGCUUAUCCGAGGUGUCAUUAUGUCACAUAUGACUCAUCAAUACAUGUCAUAUUGCCAAGUGAAAUUUAAAAAUUGGUUAAGAAACUAACGGUAAAAGAGCUCCAGUGGUAAUGGAAUUCUAGUUGAUCAAGUGGUAGAGUAAAUAUGGCACAGAUAGUUGGUCAAUGUUAGUCGAAUCCAGAACGGAAGCUCCAGCUCGAGCUCAUUUAUCACUAGGCCAAAACAACUUGGUUUAAUCAAGUUAUUAUGUUUUUAUUUAAGUGUGUUCUCUUACUGUUCCUUUUAACAAAUGAAUGAAAUUUAUGUAAUUUCUUUUUUUGAGAAAGGAAUUUUUUGUAAAAUUAGCAAUUGUUGAUGUAUUAAAUUGGUUAUAGAUGUGGUUUGUUAUUGAAUUGUGUCGUUCCAAUCACCAUUAAACAAAAAUAAAAUAUAGAAAUCUCCUAAAGAAGAAAAAUUGGUCGGGAAGAAUCUAACAAAAAAAAGGAGGUUGUAUAUAUGUUUGUCUUCUUGUCGAUGGCGAAUACACAGAAGAAUCGUUGCUUCGAAAUAAACUGAAAAUGAUAUAACAUUAAAGAAUUAAAUCGAGUAAUUCAAAGAUGAUUAGGCGGGACCCACUCUAUGGGACUAAGUAAAUGUCAACUCAAACAGAAACAAAGCGAAUCUCUCAAAAUAUAUAAUUUUAGUUCAUUGACGAAUAAGUCGCCGUCUUCAGACAACGCGGUUCAGAUCUUCUUCAGCUUGUUCUCAUUAAUUUUUCUUCAUCUGAUUAUUAUUGGAAUCUAAAUACGAUGUGUUCUAGAAGCUUGACGCAUUUGUAUUAACCUCUAUUAUCUAUAAUAUAUUGCAUUUCUACCAAACUCUCUUUAUCAUCGUUCCUUUUUCGAUAACCAACUCUUUUUAAUCUUUGUUUUCGAGUGUUUGUUGAAAUGUAGUUUCUACAUUUCUCAUUUGUUUUGGUAAUGUUGACCAAGCGAUUUGUUGACUAUGUUGCUAAUGCUUGGAAAAGAAGGACAAGAGAGUGUUAUCCUUGUAGAAUCGUUUUAAAUUACCAAACCAUUUGGUAAUUUUGACCAAAUCAUUAGUCACCUUAUUGAUAUUAAUGUCAUCCUACUUGUGUCACGAAGAUUGUAGUUUUUAUAUUUUAUUUGUUUCACAAAGAUAAUAGUUUUGGGGUUUCAACGUAACUUUAUAGUUUUUGUCAAUUUUGUCCACAUUAAUUAAGACAAUUACUACAUGUAAUAUUUUUAUUAUAAAUUACUAUGUAUUAAACUAGGAUUAUCGCCAUGCCAGAGCUUUGGAACAGAAUGCAGGGAGCAGAUUGCAAUGGUAAAGAAACCUCAGAAGUGGCUAAGCUUCACGACAUAAUUAGAAAAAAUAGAAACGCUGCAGACUUGUUUCCCGGACUUCAAGAUCUCCAUGUCCCACGAGUGUGCAAUCAGUUUUCUGACUUUUUAGUUAAGACUGCUAAGAUUUUUCGUAGGGAGUUAUUUUUUAUUGGUUAUUCUAUUCUUAUAUGGUUACCCAGACCACUUCAAGUUUGAGUAAUAGAAUGGUCGUUCGACUUUAAAAAAAAAAAAGAAUUAUCGUUGAUAUUGCAACUUUAUUUUUAAAGUGCGUGAAAUCUCUAAAACUACAAUUUUAGUGGAAUGGAGGAAGUGCUUUUUCUCUAAAAUGUUGAAUUUGCUCAUAAGUUCAUAAAUGAUCGCAUCUUUCUAGAAAUUAUUUCUUUUAUCGCAACAUCUAUUUACUAAAGAAGGCUAGUUCUGGUAAAAUUUUAAAUUAAUUUAUCAUAAAAAUAAAAGGCAAAUUGAAUAUUAUUCAAAAAGAUGGGAUCAGUUGGCAUGACCUCAUAGAAUAGAGAUGGGCAAAUGUUUUGUUAUUUGUUUGUAACUCAACUUUCGAGUGAUUUGAUGACAUUGUAUUUAACCACUGAUUAUGACUUCAUUAAAAAUUAAAGCCAUAUAUGAGAACACUAUAGUCAUGCCUACUUUAAAAGCUGAGAAAAAAAACACUAAAACAAACAAACAAAUCUAAUCUAUUAAUUUAAAAUUCUAUUUUUAUCUACUUGUAAAUAAUCUAAGUUGAACCAUUACAUUUAACUCGCUUUCAUAUUAUUUCUACUUAUACCUAACUUAGUUAUUAUUAAAUAUAUAUCCUAACUUAAAAUUAAGGAACUAAAUAACUAAUCUCUUAUUUUAAAUUAUGAGUUCAAUUUAUAUUAACACUAAUUUUACGUAAAUAAUCAAUUAUAUUUUAUUUAUUAAUAUAAAAAAUAUAUACCUACUAAUUCAUAUAUACAACUGUACUUUAGUUCAAAUGUAAGAAACAAAUUCCUUAAAAUCUUCACCAAAUACAUAAUAAUAUAUCUUAUGGAUAAAGUAUUAAAACUAUAGAUACAUAUAUAUGAUAAAAUAAAUAAUAAUGGUCAUUAAUAUUUAAUGAUAUGCUUGAACAUGUUAUUAUUAUUGAUAUUUUUUAAUGAAUAUAGGUUAUUCCAACACAUAUAAAAUAUUUAUCAAAUAUAAAUCUCACUGAACAAAACAUAAAAUAUAUUUUAAGUUAGGUUUGAGCAUUCAGGUAUCCGUUGUGAUACAAGUUGCAUAUUUGGAAUUUCAGUUCUAAUUUAUAUCACAUCAUAGGUCUCAUUCUGGUAAAUUUGUAAGUAAGGAUCAUGUUCAGAUAUAACACUUCAGUUUUAUUUCUAAAUAUCACAUCUAAAAUCUAUAAAAUAACAAUAUAUUGUUCCGAUUCAGGUUAUAUGGAUUCGGCUCAGACAUAUCCGAAAUUAAAUCCAAAAUUGAAAAGAAAAACAUAAGAAAUAAACUUAUUUGUAUAGGAUUGGUUUAAAGUACUUAUUGAAGAUUUAAAUACUUAUUUUAAUAUAUAGUUUCAAAAUAAAUAUAGAAUUGAAUAUUUUAAGUACAUAUUUAUGUUUCAAAUAAUUUGUAUUUGCGAUAAAUUUGGAUUUUCGGAUCGGUUUUUUGGAUUUCUUGGGGAUUUUUUUCUGGGUUUUCUGGUAGCACGUUCGAGUUCGGCUAAUAACACUUCGAGUUCGGAUAUGUGGUGUACCACACUACGAGACCUAUUUUUAAAUUUCUUAUGUUUCGGAAUGGACACAGAUCAGGUUUUUUGGUUUGAGUUAGGUAUGGACUUUGAGUUACGAAUUUUAUGCACAUGUCUGCUUUAAAUGAAGAGAAAAUACGAUUAUAUAAAAAAAUUACCUAAACAAUAUUAUGUGCUUUAGCGCGGGUGAAAAUCUAGUAGUAUCUUAAAUCAAACGGUUAUUUUAAAGGUUAGUUUAUAAAGAAAAUUUAUAACUAAACAUGGACUAUUAUUAAAAAAAACGUAAAAAUAAAAUGGAUUUUCAGAAAGUACUAUUAAAUAACUUUCAUACUUCGAAAAAUGAUUAUAAAGUGAAACCAGAAAAUUUUGAGAAACUAUAUGUAAUUCUAAUAACAGUUUGAUAGAAGAGUAUAACUUUCAGUCACUCCUUCUAUACUCGAAUUUUUCUUUUGUAAAAUUAUUUAAAAAAUUAUAUAAUUCUUCCUUAUAAUCAUUUACUUUAAACGAUCAAAGACUAAUAAACUAAAAGAUGUAUAGUUUUUUUGACAAAUAUAUUAAAUUUUGAGACAUUUGGUUAAAAUAUAAAAAUUGAUAACUCAAUUGUUCUACUAAACCUUUGUUUAUUAAAUUGGGGAAUUAAGAUUUGCAUUUAUGUAAAUUCAUUUUUUUCCAAAUAAUCGAUCAUUUGAAGUUGUUCUUUCAUUGAAGAAAACUUGAGUUUGUCAAUAAAGGUUUUUGUUAUAGGCAAAGUUACAGUAAAACAUAUAAUUCUUUAGAAUCUCCUCUUCUCUCAUUCAUUCAACGCUUUUGAUCGUUCAUAUUUUUAUUCGCUGGAAUCAACAAAAAUUUCAUAUGUAAGUUUUCAACUGUAAGAUUUUUUAUUAGAUUGAUGAUGCUUUUUUAGCUUGGCUGGUUCUUGAUAUUCAAAAACCGCAUAAUUAAGUUGAUUAAUUUGAGUAAGCGAUUUAAUUUUUUUAUAAAAAUAAUUGGAUUGAUUUCAGUUUUGAACCGUUAAACUUAAGGCUGUUUUAAGAUUUUCUAAACAAGUUUUUAGAAGUUUAAUACCAUAUUUUGAUAGCUCUCAUCAAAAUAUUGUAUUUGAUAUAUUUUUUUUGAUAAAUACUAUCGGCUGAUCCGGUUUGUCUCGGAAGGAAUGCACUCGGUAUUGGCUACCACACUGCAUGACUCGAGUUUGGAUUAACUUGUAACUAAUUCUAGGGGAUGAACCAAUCAUUUGUUACGAUCCACCAUGUAAACUAUUUGGGUCCAAGCCCAAACCUAAACUAACUAAGUGAUGAUAUUUGUAUUUGGUAUAUUGAUUGUAAUUUCAAUUGAUUUUAGGUAUAUACACUAAAAUAAUAGUGUAAAGAAGAGAAAAAAAAAGAAAGAAACAAAGAAAGAGAAAAUGAAAUAUAAUAGAUUGAAAUUAGAUUCGAGAAUAUUCAUCUAUGUUAUGAUUGUAACUCUUAGAUUUUCAGAUUUUUUUUUGGAAAAUAAUAACUGAAAACACAGGCAAACAUACAUUUUGAAAAUCGGUAGAAAAAUAUAAAUAAGUGAAAACAUCAAUGUAAACUAGAUAGAUCAUAUAUGAACGGUUAGAACAAUGCAAAACACAUACUCUUACCAAAGUAGAUGAUAUAGCAAAAGUUAGGAUAGAAGCAAGUGUAAAAACUAUAGUAAAUUUGAUUUAUUAUAUUUUCAGAUUUAUUAUAUUUUGAUUUCUUUUACAUUUGAAUGCUUUUCUUUGUUGAGAUUUAGAUAAAAUAACUUAGUUAAAUUGUAACAAGUGUCUAUAAAUAUCUAUUGGAACAAUUAAAUUUUCAAUAUUUCUCAUUUACACAAUUUUUUUCUUAAAAACUUUACUGAAAUGAUAUUGGUUAUUACCAAACUAGUAAUUAAAUUUGACACGAGUAGACCACUCUAUCCAGCUUGUAGCUACUAGAAAUGAUGAGAAAGAAAUAAUUAUAUUUUUCAUACUUGGUGGGAUACAUAGGAGAGAUACAACUUUAGAAUACAGACCCGGCAGUACACAAUUUUGUGGUGAAAAACUCCCGUAACAUUGUUAGCGAUAACAGAAACAAGUUAUAGUAGCUUUAUUUUGGUGUUUUGAAUCUAUACUCAAUCUUCCAAAAUAUCUACAAUAUUCCGAAUUAUCAUUGCUUCUGGCUUUUUUUUGCCGUCGUAUUUUGUGAAGCACAUGUUUUAAAGCUGUCGGGGUCCAAUGGAAGAAGUUAUGAUAACACGUAUCUGUAAUUUAGUUAGAGAAAAGGGCAAAACCUAUCAUCAUCUAGAAGACUAGAAUUGGAAGCACCCACUACUGACUGAUCAACUUGUUGCUGAAUUUUUUUUUUUUUUUUUUGUCAAACGUUGCUGAAUUAUUUAGAAAACAUAAAUUAAAACUAAACAAAGUAAGUACACACGCGGUGAACGCGUGCAUGUGUAAUUAAACAUUUACAAUGUCAAAGUUGGGUUAGAAAUAUACAGCAUCCCUUGCUCAAAGAAAAAAAAAAUACACCAACCUCCGAAAACUGAAAGUUAAAAAGCAGUAGCAUUUUCAAACACUUUUGUGACAUCCCCACGAAAUAUUAUAUAUAUAACUAUGAUAAUUCCACAUGCUGCAUGAAUUUAAUCUUCUAAUAACAAAAUGUGUAAAAUUUUGUUUGGUUAUAAUAUAUGGAAAAAAAAUUUAAAAAAUUGAUUUGAUUAUGUAUAUCACCAAAAUAUACUUAUUUUUUUGUCACACAUUCGUUUAGAACUUCAAAGUUAUGUAUUCUUGAACUAGAAUAGUGGAAGGAUAUGUGAUCUACCGGAAAGUCAUUCGCGAUAUCAUAUGAGUGAGGCCAAAACAUAGAAAAUGUCAUAUGGUGAUUACAUCGUCAAUAAACAAGAUUUCUGAGCCUCCAAAAAAUUAAUGCCAUGCCCGUUGUACGAAAUGGAGCUUAUGGGCCGAGUGAGUGGGCGUGGAAGGUGGGUGAACUACCGAGAAAUCAUUGGCAGUUUCGUGUGAGUGAGGCCAAACCACGAGAAAAUUCAUGUGGUGGUUGCAUGGUCACUAAAAAAGAUUUUCGAGCCUCCAAAAAAAUUAACACACCAUCCGUCACACAGAAUGGAAGUCACAUAGUAGGAGUGAGAGUCCAUUAGCCAUGGACAGUCGGAACGUUAUAACUUUAUUUAUAUACCUUGACAGAUGAUUUAUGGGUAAGUUAAGGGUAACAUCAGGUUCUCCUACAAGCUGGAAAACAGCGUGUUGGAACACAUGUCUACUUUCGAAGGUAAACCAUUAUGUCUUUCAUUAGUUCGAAGAAUUUUGAACGUGUAUUUUUUAAAUUUACCAACUCAACAAUAUAGUCAAGUAAAAAAAUAGAAAAGAGGAGGUAAGUAAUUAGAUUAUCAAAUGAGAUAGUUUUAAACUAUAUUCCUACAUGAGCCACUAUACGACUCAAUGCAGAAUGAUACCUAACGAUCUACAUACAAUAGUUAAAUAAUGAAUCAUCCAUCCGUGACAUCCUCAUUUCAUUGCACAUUAUCAACAAACAUGUGUAUUACUACGUCUCUCUAAACAUUUUCUAAUGGCCCUACUUCCCAACCAACACUGACCACCAUUUAGUUUCCUACAUGACCACCUGCUCGUGGCCAUUUCGCUCAUCUGGCACUACCCUACUGUCAAUAGUCACAUAUGUCCUGAUUCUGCAUCUCAUAUUAAUCUUCGGACCUCACCAAUCAGAUACAACACAUAGUUCCAUGCUUAACAACAUUCAUUAUCGUUAUUAAGUUGAUACCAUUCAUUUAUCAAUCCUAGUUUGUUCAUAAUCACAAUUCAGUAUUAUCAAAAAAUCAAUCACAUUAACACAAUAACUCAUUUUAUUGUUUUAACAAUACAAGUGUUCUUAUGCACCACUCAACAUUGAUCUAAGUACCUAACAUCAAUCAACAAAGCUAACCAAUCAUAUAAUCCAACAUAAAAAAUAUAGAAAAUCAAGAGAAGAAAACAUCCCCACCUGGAUCAAAGAUGAACGAGAUGUAGAUCAGCAGGACAUGAAUAUCUAUAGAACACAUAUGAAGAACGAGACGACAAACGACGGACAACGAACAAUGACCAGUCGGUAUCAGCGUCGGCAAACUACGACAAUGAACGAGACGAAAUGAGCAACAGUUGCUGGUUGGUGAGAAACAACAACAGCGGAAGCAAGGCGUCGGUGGCGGAUAUGGAACGGGUGCUUGACACCUCAAGAUAUCUACAAGGUUUCGUUAGAUUUUUUUCUGAUAAGAAAAUAGUGAAGAGAAGAUCUUUUUCAUAAAAAAGGACAACUCUAUGUUCAAUCCUAACCGGUCUUUUACCUAGAAAGAUUUCCUUAAAAAUAAAAGGAGAGUUUGGAUUUAGAUUUUGAGAUGUUACAUUAAAUGAUAUAUUUUUUCCGCCAGAAUAUCUAAGAAAUUUAGAGUAUAAAUUCAAAUCGAAUAUAUAAUAUACCUGGUUUGUGCUGAUAAUAUAUGUGGAAGGGGUUACAAAAUCGAUUUGGUUAACUAAUACAUAAAGUGAACAUAGAUUUUUAAUAAUCAAAGAGAAUUAAAAACUUAAGCAUAAUUGGGUUAUUUAAAUUAAAUGAUGAGUAAUCUAUCAAUAAGUUGGUCAUUUUCUGUAUCGUGUGAGUGAGGACAAACACAUAAAACAGUAACAUAGUGUUUAUACAUGGUCAAUAACAAUUCUUUCGAACAUUUCUAAGCAAAUUACUGGACGUGGAACGAGAUGGACUGUAACGACCCGCUGUCGGAGUAUUUUAAUUUCUAAGAAAAUAGAUCAUGAGAGAUUUUUCUACAAAUGAAAUUAUUGCUCUAAGUAUUGAAUAUUUUUCGUAAAAUUGUUGAAGUAACAAUGAUGAAUUUUGACUAAAUGUUGAUUAUUACUUAAGAACUUGAAACAAAAUUGCCUCAGGAUGAGUAAACAUAAAAUAAUCAUGGAAUGAUGUGGAUUUCGAGUAAGGUAAGUUUGACUAGUUAUCAUUGCGAGAUUAUACAAAAGAAAUGUCGAGUUUACAGGGAUCAAUUAAGUUAAUUAUUAUAGAGAAUGGGUCAUGUCACUGGUGAUAUUUGACCAAGCCAAAUUAGAAAUCAAACAUUAAGUGCCCGACUGUGUGAUCAAGUCCAAGAAUCCAAUAAAAAUGGGUCUCGGGUUCCAUUUCUAGAAGAACUUUAAGAGGAUUUGUACAGAGAAGUUAGAAAAAUAAUGGAGUUCUAGAGAGACAAGUUUGAGAAGAAGGAUCAAACGAGGCGGAGAAAAAGUGUUAUUUGUGAGAAAACGCUAGGAACUUCAGAGUCUUUGAAUACUUGAGAUUCAUCUAAGGUGAAGACGUGAUUCGCAGAAAUCCAUUAGUUUGUGUUUUAGUAACUUUUAUUCAUAUAUUAAAGAUUAUGCGAAUGAGCACAUUGUUUUAUGGAAAAUUGGUUUUUCGUUAUUUGAAGUGAUUCUUCAAGGAUCGAAGAACUUUUUUUCGAUUUUUAUUUUUUUGCAUGUUACAUUGUGUGUGAUGAUGUUAUAUUUAAUUUGUAUGUUUAUGUGAAAAACGUAGAACUCAUAUUGAAAUGAAUUGGCAUAUUAAGUGCACAAUGUUAAGAAAAUAUAUUAAGAAUAAGAUUAAUUAAAAAAAGUAAAAGAUUAGUUGAAAUAAAUUAAAUAAGAAAAUUAUGUUUCAGUUUGGGGCAGUAUGUUGGCUUCAGUUGUGAACGACUUUCGGGUAUAUGUUGGCUUCCACUGUGAUGAACCUUUGAGGUUAUAUAUUGGAUUUGGCCGUGAUGGACCUUUGGACUUCGUAGAUUGUCAGGUUGCGUACCUUCAAUCAUAAGAACUGUUGAGUUAUUGGGCCGUCACUAGGAUUGACAUUUGGUCAUGUGGAUUGUGGAUUGGUGAAUCUUCUAUCGUAAGAACCAUUGAGUAUAACCUUUGGUAGGAUGUACCUUUGGGUCGCGUAGAUCGUUGAAUCGGUCUUUAUAUUGAAGGGGUUUUGGAUCAGUGAAUCUUCGGCUGUAAGAGUGUAAAGGGUUUAAGUAAUAAGAAAACAACUAAAUAGUAAGAAAAAUGAGUGAAAAAGAAAAUGAUGUAAAAACGGAUUGCUAUAAUGUGUAAAUUCGAAUGCAUUGGUUGCCAGGUUGCAUGUGGACGGUUUUAAGCAUCCACACUAAGAUUUUUUUGUAUGAUCAUGCCUCAUGUUGUGAUGCAUGUAAGGUUUUAUUGUACGAACCGGAGCGCCAUGGAAUAAAAACCAUAGGGAACGAAUGUUCUAAAGUUGAAUAACGAUGGGGAGUAUAAAGAAAUUAUCAUUGUAACCUACAAAUUUUCAGUAAUAGUCUUUAAUUGUAUUAAUUUUAUUAAUAAAAAUAACUUGAUUUUUAUUUAGAAUUUUCAACGUGGUUUUUAAAUAUUAUUCAAAUAUCAUAAUUAUACAGUAUUGAAAAAAUGAUUUGUAUGUAAUUUUUUUCUUAGAUAGUAAAAUAUUAUGGCUUAGUGGAGUUUGAAAGUAAGUAUUCAAGGUUAUUAGAACAUUAUUAACCCUUGCACGAGUUCUUAGGUGAAUUUUAUUUAUUUAUUUAUUUAUUUUUUAAAAAAAUUAACCAAUCGCAGGUCGCCACGUGUCAGUAGAAUUCGUGAACAGUGCUUAAACCGAGUUAGAGGCACCCCUUACAAAAGAACAUUAAAAGGUGAUUUUUAUUAAAACUGUGAGACCCACCUCUUAAGAACCAACUUAAGAAGUGGGUUAAGAGCAACAUUAUCGGCACUUCUUAGGCCCAUAUCUUAGUGUUUUUGGGUCGAAAAUUAAAUAAAAACACUUAAAAAAAUACAAACGGAUCUUAAUUAAGAAGUUUUAGGCUUGGUCCUUAAGUGCUAUGUGGCAGCAGGCGAUUGGGUGACCAGAAUCCGGCGAAGCCCAUGGCGGAGACGAAGAGCACGAUGCUGAGGGAGACGCGAGAAGAUCCGCAGAAGGCGUCUUUUUCAACGUCACAGCAACCUUCAUCUGACAAGAAACCCGAAGAUGCUGAGAUCAAGCCUCAGGAUACGGAUCAUGGUGUUUCUCCAAAGUAUCCGGGUUUGUAUCCGGGUCUUGUUCCCGGAUCGAAUCCUGGGCAGUACGAUGAACAGACGAACCGUGGAGCUGGUGUUUAUGCGGUUCCUGUACAUGUGGCUGGUCUUCCUUUAAACUAUCUCAUUCCUCUCACUUACCAUGUUCCCAUGACUAGACCAAGCAAAGAGACUGAGGCUGGGGGAGAGAACCAAGCGCAAGGUGGUCAAGUUCAGUAGCAGCAGCAACAACAUGCAGGUCAAAGGCAAGUGGUGGUACGGAGAUUUGAGAUUGCGUUUCAGCUUGACAUAUUGCUAAUACUCAAGCUUGCUGCUGUUAUCUAUUUGUUCAACCAAGAUGGAUCAAGACAACGGCUAGCUGUUCUUGUGAUUUUUGCCACCAUUAUCUACUUGUAAGCCUCUCCAUUGAUCCCUAACGUGUUGGUAAAUAAUUUGAAAUUGGGUGUUUGGAAACUUUUGACAGAUACCAAACUGGAGCCCUUGCAUCUUUUAUACCUAAGAACUUUCGAAAAGUUUCAUUGAUAAUGUUGUAUUUUACUUAAGUAUCUUAGAAAACUUCUUAGACUAAAAAUAAUAAUUAAAAAUUCUAAGAUGUUUGCUAAGAGUUGCUAUUGAUAAUGUUGCUCUAAUGCU
Molecule: RNA transcript, 15302 nt
Organism: Brassica rapa (field mustard)
Lineage: Eukaryota; Viridiplantae; Streptophyta; Magnoliopsida; Brassicales; Brassicaceae
Source: RefSeq, a predicted model, not a curated record